This 339-nucleotide unclassified non-coding RNA is filed under the name soil metagenome. Its description in RNAcentral is "partial contains 5.8S ribosomal RNA, internal transcribed spacer 2, and large subunit ribosomal RNA". The stretch from base 1 to 120 matches the Rfam family "5.8S ribosomal RNA", at positions 35 to 154 of the family's 154-position model. The record is from RNAcentral.
GAUGAAGAACGCAGCGAAAUGCGAUAAUUAAUGUGAAUUGCAGAAUUCCGUGAAUCAUCGAGUUUUUGAACGCAUAUUGCGCCCCUUGGUAUUCCGAGGGGCAUGCCUGUCCGAGCGUCAUUGCAACCCUUCAAGCACGGCUUGUGUGUUGGACGGCCGCCCCAGUGUGGGCGGGUCCCAAAUGCAGUGGCGGCGCCGCGAUCCGGGUGCUCGAGUGCAUGGAAACCACGCGCUCGUUAGGCCCCGUCGGGCGCCGGACGACCUAAUUAUCUUCGUUCUGGUUGAACUCGGAUCAGGUAGGAAUACCCGCUGAACUUAAGCAUAUCAAUAAGCGGAGGA